RNAcentral lists this ribosomal RNA (479 nucleotides) under uncultured bacterium. RNAcentral describes it as "partial 16S ribosomal RNA". It matches the Rfam family "Bacterial small subunit ribosomal RNA", at positions 28 to 507 of the family's 1533-position model. The record is from RNAcentral.
GAUGAACGCUAGCGGGAGGCCUAACACAUGCAAGCCGAGCGGUAUUGUUUCUUCGGAUAUGAGAGAGCGGCGUACGGGUGCGUAACACGUGUGCAACCUGCCUUUAUCUGGGGGAUAGCCUUUCGAAAGGAAGAUUAAUACUCCAUAAUAUAUUGAACGGCAUCGUUUAAUAUUGAAAGCUCCUUCGGAUAGAGAUGGUCACGCGCAAGAUUAGCUAGUUGGUGAGGUAACGGCUCACCAAGGCGAUGAUCCUUAGGGGGCAGGAUAGGGUGAUCCCCCACACUGGUACUGAGACACGGACCAGACUGCUACGGGAGGCAGCAGUGAGGAAGAUUGGUCAAUGGGUGCAAGUCUGAACCAGCCAUCCCGCGUGAAGGACGACUGCCGUAUGGGUUGUAAACUUCUUUUGUAUAAGGAUAAACCUAUCCUCGAGAGGGUAGCUGAAGGUACUAUACGAAUAAGCACCGGCUAACUCCGUG